GUUGAACGCUAGCGGGAGGCCUAACACAUGCAAGCCGAGCGGUAGAGUUUCUUCGGAAACUUGAGAGCGGCGCACGGGUGCGUAACACGUGUGCAACCUACCUUUAUCUUGGGGAUAGCCUUUCGAAAGGAAGAUUAAUACCCCAUAAUAUAAUGAUUGGCAUCAAUUAUUAUUGAAAACUCCGGUGGUUUGAGAUGGGCCUGUGCAAGAUUAGAUAGUUGGUGAGGUAACGGCUCACCAAGUCAAUGAUCUUUAGGGGUGCUGAGAGGGAGAUCCCCCACACUGGUACUGCGACACAGACCAGAAUCCUACGGGAGGCAGCAGUGAGGAAUAUUAGGCGAUGGAUGAGAGCCUGAUCCAGCCGUCCCGCGUGAAGAGGGACGGUCCUAUGGAUUGUAAACUACUUUUGAACAAGGAUAAACCUACCCUCGUGAGGGUAGCUGAAGGUACUGUAAGAAUAAGCACCGGCUAACUCCGUG
This 479-nucleotide ribosomal RNA is filed under the name uncultured bacterium. Its description in RNAcentral is "partial 16S ribosomal RNA". It matches the Rfam family "Bacterial small subunit ribosomal RNA", at positions 28 to 507 of the family's 1533-position model. The record is from RNAcentral.